Long non-coding RNA from Aedes albopictus (Asian tiger mosquito), 1142 nucleotides. RefSeq lists it as uncharacterized. The record is from RefSeq and is a predicted model, not a curated record. The transcript has 4 exons. Lineage: Eukaryota; Metazoa; Arthropoda; Insecta; Diptera; Culicidae.
AAAAAAUAAUGUAAAACGCAUCGAUGUAAUUGAUGCGAUGUAUCAAAAAACCUAUGUAACCACGAUUUUCAGAUGUAAUAUCACACCAUUUUGAUGCUUUAGUACAUCUACCUUGAAAUUACACAAACAAGAAACCAAAAUUUAUUAUUAAGUCUAAUCUGUGUAAUAUUGACAUCGAGAAAAUGUGAAUAUUACACAGAAACAGCUGCAACCAAGUGGUUAUGUCGAAGUUGUGUACAAUUACACAAAUGCAACACCAUAUCGCAUUCUUUUGCGAUGCAAAACUAAAUCGCGCAACACUGCUUUGUCUUUGCGGGUGCUGGCCUGGCCGACCGAGCAAGCUGCCAUAUUUGUUUCGGUGCGUUCAAAAACAAGGCGGAAAAUUGAAGAUUUUCUGUUUUAUUUGUUUUAUGCAGCUAAAAUUUCAGUCAACGGAAGCCAUCAAGGGAGCUAUCAACCACAGUACAGAUGGGAAUCGAUUGCAUUUUGCAUAGCUCGAUGUCCAGGAAGAAACGCCACCGAAAAAGGCUCGCAGGUCCGCAGUUGCGUCGGAUGUCGUCCUGUUGAGGUGGCCGGCCGCCGAAUUCACAUUAGCGAUCAUCGAUGCCACAAUGAAUUUGCUGCCAACGAUCGUGCAUCAUUCUUACCUCAACCCGAUGCAUCCAGAAAUGCAUGGAUAUGAUGACACCCUCGCAGCAACCUGAUGGGCGAUGUAGUAGUCCCUCCGAUACUGUUUUAUUUACUUCCACCUGGUUCCGGGUCGAAUAUGGAGCACAAUAUACGCUUCUACAGGCUCUCGGUCCCUCGUGGAACUGCUCAGCAGAACUUGCAUCGAUAGAAUAAGGCUCCGUAGUGAAAAGUAGCACCUUGCAGAAAAUCGGAUCGCUUCUAUUCCGGAAUCGGCAGCGUUCUAGCUGGCUGCGAAAAACUUUAUACCGCGAGGUGGUUACACAGCAGGAAUUAUAUGUUACUCCCCGGAUGCGGAUUAUUUCCUGGAGCUGUGCAUAUUAUCAGUGGAAGUGAAGCAUCAAAAAGAGAAUGAUAAUGCCGCUGUUUUCAGGCGGUACUUUAUUCACCGCUGCCGUCAUAAUGGUCGCCCCAGCUACUUUGUGCCCGCAAAAUUGGAUUUAAUUAUUAUGUAA